Oxyura jamaicensis (ruddy duck) is the source of this 848-nucleotide long non-coding RNA. RefSeq lists it as uncharacterized. The record is from RefSeq and is a predicted model, not a curated record. NCBI's taxonomy places the organism in Eukaryota, Metazoa, Chordata, Aves, Anseriformes, Anatidae. The transcript has 2 exons.
GUGGACGUAAGGAGUAUGCAUUUCAUACCCACAGCGCAAGAAAUCUUUCGUUUGCUUGCAGCCCAGGAGCUGUGGAGGAGGCACAUGCUUGGCUGAGCACCGCUGCUGACGGGUGUCUGUGCAAGGAUGCUCUGGGCUGCGCCGCGCGGUGAGUCACUGGAGUAGGACGGCACAAACGCUCAUUUCCCCGCUUACUCAGAGGUCAGUGGCCAGACAAUAUCCCGAAGUCAGUUCCACUCCAGGACAGAAGAAACCGAAGAGAAGUGAUUUGAAACAUUCCUGUUCAAGGCUUGCUUUGAGUGCAGCUUUCAUCACGCCUGCGUAAACCCGAAGGAAAAUUACAUUUUAUUCACUGCAGAGUUCGUCGGGACCGUGUGUGAUGUCCACACUCACAAGUUAAUCAUAAAGUAAAUAUUUUGGGAGCAAACCGUGUAAGAGCCUGUGCUACCAGGCAGCCAAGGGAAUCAGCCACCAGUGGGGUUUCAGCAUGGGCUUGGUGUUGUGGGCUUUUUUGACAGAAGUGCUGACAGGCACCAGCGGCCCCGGCCAAAGCAAACAAGAGGAUUUUUCUUUCUCCCCUCUCCCCGGGCUAAAAGCAAUCCUUGGAGACAGAAAGCUGCAGCAUCGCAAGACUUUGGACUGAGAUGUGAGCUUUGGGACAUUUUUAUGGUUGCUUACAACCUGCCUGCAAACUCUUAAGCAAUGCCUUGGGGCCAUGGGGAUUAUGGGGCCCUGCUGGCUCUUGGGCCCACGGUCAGAAACAGGCCGGGGUAGGCCAGUAGGGUCUGUGUGUGUUCUUCGAUGGGGCAAAGAUUAAUAAAUCCCCCAAUAAAUACGUGUUUCCCUAA